GGAUGUGAGGGCGAUCUGGCUGCGACAUUUGCCACUCCAUUGAUCGCCAGGGCUGAUUCGGCUGAUCUGGCUGGCUAGACGGGUGUCCCCUUCCUCCCUCACCGCUCCAUGUGCGUCCCUCCCGAAGCUGCGCGCUCGGUCGCAGAGGACGACCAUCCCUGCUAGAGGAGGACCGGUCUUCAGUCAAGGGUAUACGAGUAGCUGCACUCCCCUGCUAGAACCUCCAAACAAGCUCUCAAGGUCCAUUCUCUGGUUCAAUCCCUAAGUGCCUGUAAUAGCCAUAGCUAGGCCAGGCCAAAGUCAAGACCUAGAAACGCCACCGGGGUCU
Molecule: unclassified non-coding RNA, 328 nt
Organism: Ochotona princeps (American pika)
Lineage: Eukaryota; Metazoa; Chordata; Mammalia; Lagomorpha; Ochotonidae
Gene: 7SK
Rfam family: 7SK RNA
About the family: 7SK was discovered as an abundant small nuclear RNA in the mid-70s but a possible function has only recently been suggested. Two independent studies have found that 7SK RNA binds the CDK9/cyclin T complex (known as elongation factor P-TEFb).
Source: Ensembl